GCCAGCAGGCAUAUAACCCUGCAAAUCACAACUGGCAGCCCACUGAAGCUAAGCAGGUGUGAGCCUGACCAGUACCUUGAUUGGAGUCCUCCUGGAAAAAACUAAGGUUGCUGUUGGAA
RNAcentral lists this ribosomal RNA (119 nucleotides) under Lepisosteus oculatus (spotted gar). Lineage: Eukaryota; Metazoa; Chordata; Actinopteri; Semionotiformes; Lepisosteidae. The record is from RNAcentral.